Molecule: ribosomal RNA, 484 nt
Filed under: uncultured bacterium
Lineage: Bacteria
Description: partial 16S ribosomal RNA
Rfam family: Bacterial small subunit ribosomal RNA
Source: RNAcentral
AUUGAACGCUGGCGGCAUGCUUUACACAUGCAAGUCGAACGGCAGCGCGGGCUUCGGCCUGGCGGCGAGUGGCGAACGGGUGAGUAAUGCAUCGGAACGUGCCCAGUAGUGGGGGAUAGCCCGGCGAAAGCCGGAUUAAUACCGCAUACGACCUGAGGGUGAAAGCGGGGGACCGAAAGGCCUCGCGCUAUUGGAGCGGCCGAUGUCGGAUUAGCUAGUUGGUGGGGUAAAGGCUUACCAAGGCGACGAUCCGUAGCUGGUCUGAGAGGACGACCAGCCACACGGGGCCGGAACCACGGCCCAGCCCCCGCGGGGGGGCGGCAGGGGGGAAUUUGGAACAGGGGGGGCAACCUUGACCCAGCCGUGCGGCGGGGGGAAAGAGGCCCUGCGGGUUGAAAACGGUUUUUGUGGGGGAAAAAAUCCUUUGGCCUAAUCCCCGGGGGGAAUGAGGGUACCGAAAAAAAAAGCCCCGGCUAACCCCGUC